UACGAAGGGGGCUAGCGUUGCUCGGAAUCACUGGGCGUAAAGGGUGCGUAGGCGGGUCUUUAAGUCAGGGGUGAAAUCCUGGAGCUCAACUCCAGAACUGCCUUUGAUACUGAAGAUCUUGAGUUCGGGAGAGGUGAGUGGAACUGCGAGUGUAGAGGUGAAAUUCGUAGAUAUCGGGAGGAACACCAGUGGCGAAGGCGGCGAUCUGGGCAGAUAUUGACGCUGAGGUGCGAAAGCGUGGGGAGCAAACAGG
This 253-nucleotide ribosomal RNA is filed under the name uncultured bacterium. RNAcentral's name for it is "partial 16S ribosomal RNA". It matches the Rfam family "Bacterial small subunit ribosomal RNA", at positions 524 to 776 of the family's 1533-position model. The record is from RNAcentral.